CCGUGAAUAACAAACGGCUCGUCUGAAAUGCCUGAGUGUACCCCGCUUUGCGGCGUAUUCGGUGUGAUACAUCUUCACCGGAGUUGAUCCUUAUGGGUCGCGUCUGUAACGAGUGUGGCUCUAUGCUUCGAACCGUCUUCUUACGAGACAAUCUCUGACAAUUUGACCUCAAAUCGGGUGGGACUACCCGCUGAACUUAA
This 200-nucleotide unclassified non-coding RNA is filed under the name soil metagenome. RNAcentral describes it as "partial contains internal transcribed spacer 2 and large subunit ribosomal RNA". The record is from RNAcentral.